CCUCCUGGGAAGGCCUCGUGUUGCAACCC
This 29-nucleotide ribosomal RNA is filed under the name Sanguisorba minor. RNAcentral also lists the same sequence under 5 other names. Lineage: Eukaryota; Viridiplantae; Streptophyta; Magnoliopsida; Rosales; Rosaceae. The record is from RNAcentral.